This is a long non-coding RNA of Balaenoptera acutorostrata (minke whale), 297 nucleotides long. RefSeq lists it as uncharacterized. The transcript is spliced from 4 exons. NCBI's taxonomy places the organism in Eukaryota, Metazoa, Chordata, Mammalia, Artiodactyla, Balaenopteridae. The record is from RefSeq and is a predicted model, not a curated record.
AAGGAGAUCACCAGACUGCUGGGAUGCCUGCCAGAUGGUAAGCAGGACUAUGGACUAUGUGUUGAAACUUCCAGUGUUUGAAGAUCUGCUUCUUUGCCCUUUGAACUCUAUUGAAAACUUCAGAAAACAUAAAGAAGAAAAUAUUGAUGAUCCAUUACUCAGCUUCCAAGCGGAUGGUAACUAUUAAGGUCAGGAUCCUUGAGGAAGCAGAUCCUGAGAUGAAAACUUUCAAGCAGGAAGAUUACUUGGUGUACUCUUGGGAUCAACAACCUGGGAGGCAACAGGAUUGGUCACAGA